GAUGAACGCUGGCGGCGUGCCUAAUACAUGCAAGUCGAGCGAACAGAUGAGGAGCUUGCUCCUCUGACGUUAGCGGCGGACGGGUGAGUAACACGUGGAUAACCUACCUAUAAGACUGGGAUAACUUCGGGAAACCGGAGCUAAUACCGGAUAAUAUAUUGAACCGCAUGGUUCAAUAGUGAAAGACGGUUUUGCUGUCACUUAUAGAUGGAUCCGCGCCGCAUUAGCUAGUUGGUAAGGUAACGGCUUACCAAGGCAACGAUGCGUAGCCGACCUGAGAGGGUGAUCGGCCACACUGGAACUGAGACACGGUCCAGACUCCUACGGGAGGCAGCAGUAGGGAAUCUUCCGCAAAGGGCGAAAGCCUGACGGAGCAACGCCGCGUGAGUGAUGAAGGUCUUCGGAUCGUAAAACUCUGUUAGUAGGGAAGAACAAAUGUGUAAGUAACUAUGCACGUCUUGACGGUACCUACUCAGAAAGCCACGGCUAACUACGUG
Molecule: ribosomal RNA, 497 nt
Filed under: uncultured bacterium
Lineage: Bacteria
Description: partial 16S ribosomal RNA
Rfam family: Bacterial small subunit ribosomal RNA
Source: RNAcentral